AUGAGCGCGAUUUUGGCAUGCCGAGAUGGGAGCAGUUCAAGGAGGCUUGCCAUGUUCAAUUUGGGCCGUCACUUCGCGCAAAUCCCUAGGGCAAGUUGGCGUCUGUCGUUCACUUCCUUGGUUGCAGACUACACCAUCAGGUUUCUAGCGCUCAUGUGCCACAAUAAUGAGCCAUUAACACCGUUCCAACGACGGUUUCUGUACAUAGCAGGGCUGCCUGAUGGUCUUCGCAUCGACGUCGAGCUUCAACGACCAUCUGACUUCUACACCGCCAUCUCCUUCGCCAAGGCCUAUGAGCAGCAGCAUUUCCCUCCAACAGCGUGA
RNAcentral lists this ribosomal RNA (324 nucleotides) under Triticum aestivum (bread wheat). RNAcentral's name for it is "partial small subunit ribosomal RNA". The record is from RNAcentral. Lineage: Eukaryota; Viridiplantae; Streptophyta; Magnoliopsida; Poales; Poaceae.